UAGAGCAAGAUCAAAUUCCAAUAUAUUCCAAAAUAGCAUCAACAAUUACAACAUGUAUAAAGAAACUAGCCAUUUUGAUUACAUUAACAUUGUAAUUAGAAACCGAAGCUAAGGCUAGUCCACCUAUUGUGUCCCGAGGAGCAACCAAAACUAUAUCAUAGAAACCACAUCUGUUAAGGAUUCGACGAACUACUCAGCUUUUAUUCUUUGUUUCCAUCACAAAUACCAUCUGGGGGGAAUGGGAUUUGUACAUCCCUUGUAGAUGAUGGACUGUCGGGGGUUCCCCACACCCUGACAGUUCCAAGAUAAAAGACUCAUUGUUCCUGGUGGGGCCACUCAUGGCUGGCCUUCGCUACCAAUUCAGACAUAGAUUUUCCUUUGCAAGACUUCUUGUGCUGUGUAACAGUCUCAUUGCUUUCUCUAUUUCUCUUUCCCUUUUCCUUCCUUGUCUUUGUUUCUUCUUCAUUUGUUUCACUGUCAUCUACAGUAAUUGCUCGAGUUACAAUUCCUUGUCCUCGAGCCCUUCUUUUCCAGCCACCAUGUUUCUGAGCAGGCGGCUAUGUUUCAUUUAUCUGUGGUACCACUUGCUAUGGCAAAGCAGCAUUGGCAUCAUUAUCUGUUCCAGUGGGACGAGGCUCAACUUCAUCCUCAUUAGGCAGAGCCCACAAAAUUUUGGCAAUUUGGAUAAGGUCGUCAAGAGGAAUAAGUUGUUUCGGCCCCAGUUCUUCUUCAGGUAUUGCAAGAAGCGCACGUUGGGCCCUAAGAGAUAAUUUUCGAUUGUUCCAAUCCGAAGCAUUUUCGGCCUUGUUCUUAGUAUUCCAACUAUUCAAAUACCCACUAGGUUCUGAAAGCCCAAUACAAAACUACAAUGGAGAGAUGGGUUCUGUUCUUUGAAAACGUUCGGUUCAAUAAGAGUUGAGGAAUCUUCGAGGUUUUAGGCUUGUAGUUCCCAAGAACUAGGGCCCAUAAGUUUAGGAGAGGGGGGUGAAGGAUAAGAGCUAGGGUUCUCAAAUGGUGGAGGGUGAAAGUUAAAGGUCUUUGAUGAAUGCAGCAGGUUCCAGACAGCUUUUUGGAAGUGGUUAACCAGGUAUGGAAAUUUUUGAAAAAGGUGAUCAGCUUUGAUAUGAUUUUUACCGAUUGAGUCUAGGUAUUGCUGGAACAAGAUAGGGAUUUGACUUAGAGGAAAUGGCUGCGGCUGGUAGAUGUUCGAGGUUUGCAGGUCAGGCUAAUGGCUCGAUGUAGAACCAGGAAACGCAGUUUUUGAAAAACCAUCCUCAUUGUUCCCAAAGGUACCCGAAAAAGGUAAAGGCGGAUUUGUUGGCUGUUUCUCGGUAUUAAUAGUGGUUUUGGGAGGAAGAACAAUGGUUUUAUCUGAAAGGGUCUGUGGGGGUGAAGGCAGUAAAGGCUCUAGUUGUGGAAGCAUCGGUGGUAAGGAGUAAAUAAGGGGGAGAGUGUUUGCCGUGUUAAGGGAAGUGGUUAGAAGAGGGGUUUGCAGGUGUGGGAAAAUUGAAUCUAUCGCGGGUGUGACAGAAGUCUGUUAGGGGAUUGUGAUGGUGAAUCAGAUAUAUCUUGAGAAAGAAGGGGGAUAAACAAGGGUGCGGUGGAGGUAAGGGUUGAAUCCAUGGAAGAGGUGUUAGAAAUUCCCAUAGAAAUGAUGGUAGAAGAGAUUAUUACCUGUUGCUGCUGCUGAGAAAAAAUAGGUGCUUUCAUCCAGAGGCCAUAGCGUGCUUUCGUAUUCUGAGAUUCUAAGCUUUGAUGAAGAAUAUUUUCUGCAUUUUAAUUCUUGCUAUAAUGCCCCAACACACCACAAGUAUAGCACAAAUCUGGAAGUUUUUCAUACUUAAACUGCACCCAAUUCAUAUUUCCAUUCUGUUUUUUACUGUAGAAACCUUUAGGAAAGGCCUUAUCCAGAGACAAUAGAGCUCAAAACCUCAGGGAGUGGGGGAAACCGAUGACACCAUCUUGAGCCAAAUCCACUUUCAAUAUUUCCCAACAUAAUUGCCAGUGGUGAUUGCAUUCUGUGUAUUAAGUUGGUUUGGGGGUAAUCCAUGCACAUGAUCCAGAAUGGGAAUUCUUCGAAGAUAAUUUCCUCUAGUGACUGAUGUGGUGGCCAUUCAGAAAUGGAAAUGUGCUGAUUCUGUAUAGUCCAAGGACGAUUCUGGAGCACAUAUUUAGCUUCUAUUUCGUGCUCAAAGCUAAACACAAAGAUGUUAUUCCUUGUAGAGAGAACAUUGAAAUCCUUCCUGUUUCUCUAGGACUUUGAAAGGGUGGAUUUGAUUAUCGUUGCAUUAAAAGUUCUAGUGGAGAAUAUCUUGCCAAUCAACACCUUUCUUUGCUGAUAUUUCUCUUGAACAGUAUCCGUUGCUAGUUGAAGGACUCUAUCCUCACAUUGAAGUUGUUGUGCCAUAUUGAUGAGUCUAUCUACUUUUUCUGAAAUGCCGGACAUGGUUGGUGAGAGAAGUUAAGAUGUUAGGAACCAGGUCAUUUAAGAGGUUGGAAGGCAGGAAGCGAUAAAACUGGUCACAAAACUACAGGAUGGAAAACUGGAAAAACAAGAGCGUGUCCAAAGGACAAUACACAGUAGCAUUGCAUUUGCACGGUUAAUGCUGCAUGGCGUUGUCCGCAGUUUGUAGAAAGGUGCGUCAAUUAUGGUCUUGGAGAACUACUUGCCUAGGUCCACUCUUACGCAAUAAUUUCCAUAUUAAUAAUUAAUAUAUUGCUGUCUCCUAUUCAUGUCUCAAAAUUACAGAUCUUUUUUUAGAACAGUAAUUUAUAAUAG
This 2779-nucleotide unclassified non-coding RNA is filed under the name Hevea brasiliensis (rubber tree). Lineage: Eukaryota; Viridiplantae; Streptophyta; Magnoliopsida; Malpighiales; Euphorbiaceae. The record is from RNAcentral.